RNAcentral lists this long non-coding RNA (2363 nucleotides) under Salmo salar (Atlantic salmon). RNAcentral's name for it is "lncRNA (ENSSSAG00000085334.1)". Lineage: Eukaryota; Metazoa; Chordata; Actinopteri; Salmoniformes; Salmonidae. The record is from RNAcentral.
UCUAAAUCCAGACCUCCAUGGGUUGAUAAAUUGGAUUUCCAUUGAUUAUUUUUGUGUGAUUUUGUUGUCAGCACAUUCAACUAUGUAAAGAAAAAAGUAUUUAAUAAUAUUAUUUCUUUCAUUCAGAUCUAGGAUGUGUUGUUUAAGUGUUCCCUUUAUUUUUUUGAGCAGUGUAUUUUAAGCGCAUAUGAAAACUGAUCAUAAAAAAAUGGAAUAAAAAAUGUUUUACAUAUACAUGUUCCUAAGACCUUUUUCACUUGGAAAUAAGUAUUAAUAACUAAAUAGAACAAUAACCAUGUAAAGUCAGAGCCGACCUGUAUGCCCUUUAAAACAGUAUCUUAGUUACUGUAUACAUAAAAAAUAAAUACAACUUUCAGUCUUCUUCGUAAGUUUGUAAAUAAAAUAGGCCUUCUGGUCAUACAAGAACAAACUGAUAAAUUGAGGAACCUGAGUAUUCUGAAAAAUAGUCACCUGAUGCUUGUUAGGCAAUGUUAUUCAAUACAAGGAAAAUGAGAAUACCAUGGCCGAAACCAUCAAUCUGUUCCUUCUGGUGAGGUUCUAGGGAGGAAUAUGGAUUUCUGAACCGUUGAUGAAGCCUCGUCCUCCGACGAAGUAAGCAGCCUUUCCCUCAUUUCGUGCUUUCUUGAUCGUUGGCCACAACUUGUUCCUUCUUUCUAUGUCCUCUGGGCUGAGAUGCUCGGCGAAACACAUACCAUGGCUCUGAAGGAAGGGGUUCUUCCUAGCAGCUUUCCAGACAGCAUCCCUGUAGAAUUUGGUAGUGAAGAGGAUGAUGAUACCCCUUGGCCUUGAAUCGUUUUGCUAUUGCUUCUUGCCGAGGCGAUGCAGAACGUCGAUGGUAUCACCAACUUUGUUCUUCUCUGCAGGCAUAACUUCUUGGCAGAUGCGGAUAGCCUCUCCUCGCACAUCCUCAUUCUCCACCUCUGGCACGCCUCAUAGGCUGACCACACCACUCGCGUCGCGUUGCAAAAUAAAUGUAGAAAUCUAUGUAAUUCAAUUAUUGCACCCACACUGCUCACGCGCAUCUACGUUGCCAAGGGCUAAAAUAGAACUCAUUUCUAUUUCUGACGAAGAUCGCGCUGCAAGUCCUGCCUCUCCCAUCACCUCAUUGGUUUAUAGAAGCAAGUACCCACGUGCCAUCUCCUCAUUGGUUAUACCCACGUGGGUGAUUGAAAGAUGAACUGUGUUGCUGGUCGGUGUAGUAAUACUAUGAAAGUUUAGAUGCCAAUCACCAUAUAAGUUCAAAGAUGAAAAAGCCUGGAAGGAGGAGAGAUGACUAGAAAUGGUUCGGUUGACCGUUUUAUGUGUGGAUUAAUUGUCGGAGAAGAGGACCUUGUGCAUUUCAGGUAAAAUAACAACUCAAUGUUUAUAUCCCAGUACAAAUUAGUUAACAAGAGCAAGCUAGCUAAAUAGGUCAAAUUAGCUAGCAAGUGCAAGAUAGCUAAAUUGCCAUAAAUGUUUCAUGCUUUUCGACCUGUUCCCAAAUUAAUGUAAUUGGUUCAGAGUUAGUUUUGGGUUCCAUGUUAGAGUCUCAGGUUCCAUCUUCUUGUGUAUUAUUCCAGAUCAGUGAGAUGUCUAUGGUAGACAUUGUUAUUCUUUUCCACACUUUUUUCAACUUUUGCCACUCGUUUUCACAUCCUUGAUUUCACCACAUGCUAACUCCACAGUCUUUUUCAAGCCUUCGAUAACCAUGGUGUUCGCGCCUACCAUUUUUUCAAUGGCGUCAGACCUGGAGUUGAUGAGUAAGGAGAGGGUAGCCACGAUGUCAGAGUUCACGUUGGGUUUUUUGGAGGGUGGAGGUUUGCACGGAGUAACCGGUAAAGAGGGGGAUACUUCAUCUUCAUCAGCAUUCGAAAGUAUGAUAUUCCCCAUAGGGCAAGCGUAGUUAUGGCAGUUGUCUAUAAGCACGUUUCUCUCUUGAUUAGCCAUAGAACGGCUAGCUUCUUCCUUUUUUUGUCACGACUUCGCAUGGACAUGCCAAAAUAAAUGAUCCAAUUCUUAUUCCAGUCACAGGAAAGUUCUUAUAUCUUGAACAAAUAAAAACAGUAAUAGUAAUGACCGUAAACGUGUUUUUUUCACAAUCUUUCUGAAGUUUGGGGCGGCGCUCGGUAAAAAAAAGCAUCUGUUCAAGCAGCUAAUCAGCUAAAGUUAGCCAAGCUCGCUAGUUGCCGUGCUGAUCGCACCUCUAUUUUGUAAGGAACCUGUAAGGCCACGGAAACUCGCACGCCUAUUGUUUUUCUAAUUUUUACUAACUACUAUGGUAAUUUAAACAUCUGACAACAUGUUUAAAGCAGCCUUUAGCAGCCUUUCUCCACCAUGCCAACUUUUUCAGUCACCAAUUAAUC